GACGAACGCUGGCGGCGUGCUUAACACAUGCAAGUCGAACGGAAAGGCCCUGCUUUUGUGGGGUGCUCGAGUGGCGAACGGGUGAGUAACACGUGAGUAACCUGCCCUUGACUUUGGGAUAACUUCAGUAAACUGGGGCUAAUACCGGAUAGGAGCUCCUGCUGCAUGGUGGGGGUUGGAAAGUGUCGGCGGUUGGGGAUGGACUCGCGGCUUAUCAGCUUGUUGGUGGGGUAGUGGCUUACCACGGCUUUGACGGGUAGCCGGCCUGAGAGGGUGACCGGCCACAUUGGGCCUGAGAUACGGCCCAGACUCCUACGGGAGGCAGCAGUGGGGAAUAUUGCAAAAUGGGCGGAAGCCUGAUGCAGCAACGCCGCGUGCGGGAUGACGGCCUUCGGGUUGUAAACCGCUUUCGCCUGUGACGAAGCGCGAGUGACGGUAAUGGGUAAAGAAGCACCGGCUAACUACGUG
Molecule: ribosomal RNA, 468 nt
Filed under: uncultured bacterium
Lineage: Bacteria
Description: partial 16S ribosomal RNA
Rfam family: Bacterial small subunit ribosomal RNA
Source: RNAcentral